UACAGAGGGUGCGAACGUUGCUCGGAAUUACUGGGCGUAAAGCGCGUGUAGGCGGGGUCGCAAGUCAGAUGUGAAAUCCCCGGGCUCAACCCGGGAACUGCACCUGAAACUGCGAUCCUUGAGUACUGGAGAGGGUGGCGGAAUUCCUGGUGUAGAGGUGAAAUUCGUAGAUAUCAGGAGGAACACCGGUGGCGAAGGCGGCCACCUGGACAGUUACUGACGCUGAGACGCGAAAGCGUGGGGAGCAAACAGG
This 253-nucleotide ribosomal RNA is filed under the name uncultured bacterium. Its description in RNAcentral is "partial 16S ribosomal RNA". It matches the Rfam family "Bacterial small subunit ribosomal RNA", at positions 524 to 776 of the family's 1533-position model. The record is from RNAcentral.